ACCUGCCCUGGAAGCAUUACAGGUAUGGCUGCUGUGUCACAUGUACGUCAGUAGGUGGCGGGGAAGAGAGGCUGUGUCUAAACUCAGUAUUCUGAUCUGUGAACAUCUGAAUGAUUAGUAACUAACAUU
Small nucleolar RNA from Mastomys coucha (southern multimammate mouse), 129 nucleotides. RefSeq annotates it as small nucleolar RNA SNORA17. The record is from RefSeq and is a predicted model, not a curated record. The transcript has a single exon. NCBI's taxonomy places the organism in Eukaryota, Metazoa, Chordata, Mammalia, Rodentia, Muridae.